Molecule: ribosomal RNA, 581 nt
Filed under: uncultured Vibrio sp.
Lineage: Bacteria; Pseudomonadati; Pseudomonadota; Gammaproteobacteria; Vibrionales; Vibrionaceae
Description: bacterial SSU rRNA
Rfam family: Bacterial small subunit ribosomal RNA
Source: RNAcentral
UGCAGUCGAGCGGAAACGACUUAACUGAACCUUCGGGGAACGUUAAGGGCGUCGAGCGGCGGACGGGUGAGUAAUGCCUGGGAAUAUGCCUUGAUGUGGGGGAUAACUAUUGGAAACGAUAGCUAAUACCGCAUAAUGCCUUCGGGCCAAAGAGGGGGACCUUCGGGCCUCUCGCGUCAAGAUUAGCCCAGGUGGGAUUAGCUAGUUGGUGAGGUAAAGGCUCACCAAGGCGACGAUCCCUAGCUGGUCUGAGAGGAUGAUCAGCCACACCGGAGCUGAGACACGGUCCAGACUCCUACGGGAGGCAGCAGUGGGGAAUAUUGCACAAUGGGCGCAAGCCUGAUGCAGCCAUGCCGCGUGUGUGAAGAAGGCCUUCGGGUUGUAAAGCACUUUCAGUCGUGAGGAAGGUAGUGUAGUUAAUAGCUGCAUUAUUUGACGUUAGCGACAGAAGAAGCACCGGCUAACUCCGUGCCAGCAGCCGCGGUAAUACGGAGGGUGCGAGCGUUAAUCGGAAUUACUGGGCGUAAAGCGCAUGCAGGUGGGUGAUUAAGUCAGAUGUGAAAGCCCGGGGCUCAACCCGA